UUAUUUUUUUUUAAUUUUUCACUCUCUUUUUCCCCCUUCUCCGACAGCUUCCUCUCCCUCUUAUUUUCCCCCAACGUUUUCUCCCAUUCUCAUCUCAGAUCUGAACCCCAAGAUUUCCUCAACAAUUUUCCUAUUCCAUUACCCACGUCCUCAUUUCUCUCAUCUCAGAUCUGAACCCCAAGAGUCUCAACAGAUGCUCUCCCUCAUUUUUUCUCUCUCUGUGUUCUCAAAUUAGUCUUAUUGCUCCUCAAGUUGCCAUAGCUAACCGCCACACACCAAGGCAGCAAGCCUUUGCCAGUCCAGCAACAAACUGAGCGCCGUUACCCACAGCUCCCUCAGCCACGAUCAGAUAGACGUCUUUAGCCACGGCACGGAGAAGUUCAGUAACGUCUCCCGCCACGGUAGCUAGGCUAGUAGCCUUUCCUGUCGUGACCCAAGUCACCACAGUCGCGAUGCGAACCACCGUACCUACACCACACACACGACGUCAACUGCCAGAACUUACCACGUGAGACACUGUUCUGUUGGGUCGCUGUUGUGCCAUGAACCACCAUGAAAACAGGCCAGGCGCACGACCACCUCCACCAAUUACCCCACGAAAAACGCACAAACCACCCAACCGACAACCAACAAACCACCACCGCCACCCUUGCUCCUUCACAAUAGCCAACCGCCAGGAACCACGUAAAAACGAGCUCCUGUUUUUGCUCCUCUAAACAGAGCAGUGUGCCGUACAGACCACACGGGUCCUCUGGCCGACGCAAGCCUCGCCAGCCACAAUACCCAACUCUACGGGCCACCACUCAUAGAGCUUCGUCGUUGGAAGAACACGGCCGGUGCUCCACCUAUAGCCACGGCCAUCACCCCUCGGUUGUUCCCUUUGUAAAAUUCUCUCUCUCUACAUGGAACACUCUCUCUACCUCUUGGUCGCUCUCACUCUCUCUCUCCCUCUCCUAGUGCUCUGCCGCCGCUCGUUGCUUCUUUCACGGUGAGUCUAUGACCCCAUAUCGCAUGGCUUCUCUGGUGUUCCUCGGUUAGUCUCUGAAGUUGGAUGGUAUUUUUAUUGAGCUAUUCUAUACUCAGUCGUCCAAUAUAGACGCCGUGCAGUCGGCUAUGCCACAUCAGCUACUACUUAAAAAAAAAAAAAAAAUUGAAAACGGAAACGAAACAUAAGCAGAGAAGCCUUCCUUCUCCGGCGUACACCCCUCAGCUUUUCCGUGCUUCUGCAAGAUUAAACUCAAGAACUUUCCCACCCAGUACGCAACAAUCCCUCUGGUCGCUCUAGAAAGCCAACCCGACUCCCAUGAUCGCUCCCUGGCCGCUUGCUUCACUCUGAUAAGGGGAACAACCCGAUCUUGCAGGUUGAGGUCUACGCAGGGCGGAGAGGUAUCGCGUGUGGUUUGAAUAGUAGGAAGCUGUUGGGGACGGUUGCAGUUGAGGUGGAUCUCUACGCAGUAGAGACAAGGGCAAGUAAUAUUCACCUGGGUUGGGUCAGUAUCUAAGGGAACAAAAAGGGCUCGUCGGCAGAGUUGUACUUGAGCGUUAUGGCUGAACCCGAUCCAAGAUUUGUGUUCUAGUUCGAUGGAGAGCCAGAGAUCCGUCCUCAAGUUUUUCAGGUCCAUGGGGAUGUUCGGCAGCCUGUGUUUUCUUGCAAGUUCAAUUUCAAGAACAUGAAUGAUCGAAGUUUGCAAUCUUUGCCGUCGAUCAGCGAAACCAUCAGUACUCCAGGAAGUUGCUUAAUGGGUUCUCAUACUCAAAAGGACCAAACGGGAAGGUCUGGGAUGGAGGAGAGGGAAAGUCUUGCAGCGUGAGUCUGUGUGAGCGAGAGGGAAGGUCUGGAAUGGAGGAGAGGGAAGGUCUUGCAAACCCUGUGUGAGCGAGAGGGAAGGUCUAGAAUGGAGGAGAGGGAAGGUCUUGCAGACCCUGUGUGAGCGAGAGGGAAGGUCUGGAGGAGAGGGAAGGUCUUGCGGCGUGGGUCCAUGCGAGCGAGAGGGAAGGAAUGGGUCCAAUGGGAUGGACGGAAGGGUAUGCGUAGCGGGACAAAUGAAAAUUCAAAAACAAACGAAACGUUGCAUUUUAUUUUGCCAACUCAGCAGCCGUUUGCAUGGCGCUUGAGAUAGGCGACUGUAUUAAACAUUUUAUAUUUUUAUUUUUA
Molecule: long non-coding RNA, 2155 nt
Organism: Carya illinoinensis
Lineage: Eukaryota; Viridiplantae; Streptophyta; Magnoliopsida; Fagales; Juglandaceae
Exons: 2
Source: RefSeq, a predicted model, not a curated record